UAGUACUGAGGGGACUUCGUGUGA
This 24-nucleotide non-coding RNA is filed under the name Rattus norvegicus (Norway rat). The record is from RNAcentral. Lineage: Eukaryota; Metazoa; Chordata; Mammalia; Rodentia; Muridae.